This 467-nucleotide ribosomal RNA is filed under the name uncultured bacterium. Its description in RNAcentral is "partial 16S ribosomal RNA". It matches the Rfam family "Bacterial small subunit ribosomal RNA", at positions 28 to 507 of the family's 1533-position model. The record is from RNAcentral.
GAUGAACGCUGGCGGCGUGCUUAACACAUGCAAGUCGAAUGGAAAGGCCUCUGCUUGCAGGGGUACUCGAGUGGCGAACGGGUGAGUAACACGUGGGUGUUCUGCCCUGCACUUCGGGAUAAGCCUGGGAAACUGGGUCUAAUACCGGAUAGGACAAUGGUUUGGAUGCUGUUGUGGAAAGUUUUUCGGUGUGGGAUGAGCUCGCGGCCUAUCAGCUUGUUGGUGGGGUAAUGGCGUACCAAGGCGUCGACGGGUAGCCGGCCUGCGAGGGUGUACGGCCGCUUUAGACUCGAAAUGGAGGCCGGAGUCGGGCAGGAGGCAGAAGUGGGGAAUGUUGGACAAAGCGAGCAAGCGUGAGGGAGCGAGGCCGCGUGGGGGAUGACGGCUUUCGGGUUGUAAGCACCUAUCGCUAGGGACGAAGCGUUUUUGUGACGGUACCUGGAGAAGAAGCACCGGCUAACUACGUG